AGGAUUAAAAAUGAUUAAAUUAAAUCAAACUAACAAUCUUAAUCUAAGAAAUGUAUCUAACAUAAGAUGUUUUUGCUUAGCUAAGAUGUGUCUAUGUGUCACUUCCUAAUUGGUUUAAGAAAUGAACAAUAGGGAAAACAAAAAAAAAAUGCAAAAUUAAUUUUCUAUCCUUAAGAUACAAUUGAAUCUUAACCAUUGGAGAUCAUUUUUGUUAAGAUACUUAACUUUUAGUCUUAGCUUUCAAAAGGCAAAAUUUUAUUUUUAAAUAAUGCUAAGAUUCAAAAUUAAGAACUAAUUGAUUCUUAACCAUUGAGGAUGCUCUUACCUAUUAAAAUUUCCAAAAAAUAGAAAUAAAAUAUUGGUGAGGGUCAAUAGGUGGCUCUCACCAUUGGAGAUGCUAAAUAGCUACUUAACGUAAGGCCCACCAAACCACCAUCAUGUGCUUCUUUUCUAUUUUUUAUUUUUUUUAUUGAUAUUUGUUAUUGGACCACCAUGUGUUUAUAGUGCCUCAUCAAUAUCCCACACACAAUAUGAUGCCUAUAUAUAUAUGGGUAAAUUAUAUACAGUAGCCAUUGACCCACUUUUAUUUUCAAAUUUUGACACUGUGGGCGGGACCUUUCAAUUCUUAGCCUUUCAGCCAAAAACUGACCAAAAUGCCCCUGACGAAACUGAACCAGGUUUGUACCUACGGACUGCAUCGUUGGAAUCCAAUUGAAGCAUACACUGUUCACCGACGGGAAGUGCAUAAAAUAUUUUCUGGGUUUCGGCGAAUUUGACAUUAUAGCUUGGAAUUAAAAUUUUAAAAAAAUUUGUUGGGCUCAGAUGUUUUAAAUGCUAAAAAGUUUUGACAAGACAAAAAAUCAUGAUUACCUAUUAUAAUAGAGAUUAUAUUAUAAGAUAUUUACAUAAUUAAGAUUAGAAUUCUGGGAAAAAAAACGAAUCCAAAUUGUGUUACGGUGAAGAAUCUGAAGUUUUUAGUUGCUGUUUUACAAAGUUUGAAGGUUUGAAGGGGAGACAAUCUGUGAUCUGGGUAAGAAAUUCGUGUUAAUCUUAUUAAUUACACUUGAGAACGUGAUAUGAAAGUAAUGAUCCGUUUUA
RNAcentral lists this small RNA (1098 nucleotides) under Arabidopsis thaliana (thale cress). RNAcentral describes it as "ATSL261740". The record is from RNAcentral. Lineage: Eukaryota; Viridiplantae; Streptophyta; Magnoliopsida; Brassicales; Brassicaceae.